RNAcentral lists this non-coding RNA (11728 nucleotides) under Pan troglodytes (chimpanzee). Lineage: Eukaryota; Metazoa; Chordata; Mammalia; Primates; Hominidae. The record is from RNAcentral.
GGACACCUCGGGGGUUUCCUGCUUUAUGGCGAAGGACACAUAUACUCAUAGAAAUGAGUUAUUUAAAGAAGACGGUCCAGAUUCCACAGUCCAAAAAAAAAAAGAGGUUUGCCCUGCUUCCGAAGGAGUCAGGAUAUGAAUGCAGAGGUCUUCCUGUUGGCUCACAUAUCAGACCUUCAACGUCAACAUUAAAUGCGAGUGAUGCUUCCCCCUCUGUGAAUGUGGCUUUGGGUAUGGCUAAUCCACACCCUGCACUCUGGCCUUCAGAAGCCCAGGGAGAGAAGCCUCCCAGAAGCAACCUUCCAGAACCUUCUCCAUCCUCCCACCGACCUCCCCAGCCCCUGUCCUCUCUUUGAAUCUCGUUGUCAAGUUCUUUCCGCAGACGCCUGGCUCCUUGAGGGGAGGUGCAGCUUUCAUCUGACCAUGCAGGCGUGCUUUGCAGUGGGUAGAGCAGUGCUGAAAGAACAUCAGUGUAUCAGCACAGCAAAUAUUCCAAAUGCCAGGCUGGAUUCCCUCCAAUUACCAGAACCUCCAGGCUUCUCCUCCUUUCAAGAACUUUCUGACCCUGGAUCCAGUCUAAAUGUUGGUUAUAAACUCACCUGACAUCCACAGGGCCCUUCCAAAGUACUGUCAAGGCUGACUGCUGGUGCCUGGAACCUGCACACCCUCCUGGGACUCUGCAUCUCUGCUGGGGCUGGUUUCUCCUCUGAGCCACCUUAAGGAAUCCCAUCCUGACCCGGUCAGAGCUCAGCAUGCCUCCCUCUCCUACUUGCUCAGCAUUUUCUGUCUAUCUAGACUGAAGCCUUUGCUUUCUCUCUGUGAUUGUGGUGAAAGUUCAGUUUGCUUUCCUCUCUCUAGAAUGUCAGCAUGAAGGCAGAGGGAUGGUCUCCUGAGUUCCAUAACCCCAAAGCCUAACUCCCUGCCUGCCACACUGAGGGGCUCAGUAGACAUUGACUUACUAAAUUGAAUAGUUGAGUAAUAAUGCUCUUUGAAAUAAUUUGGAGUUAGAUCUUGAGCCUUGUGUGGCCAGGGGAUGGGUGAGGACACAUCAUAAAAACUAAAGGUAACUGAGCAUGCCAGCAGUUGGGGUGAGAAAUUUGCAUGGAGCACUCCAGACGCAGAGGCAGUGCUGGGAAAGAACCCAAGUGCUGGGAAGUCAGAGUGAGAGAGUGAAGGGGCAGUGAGUGCUUCUUUAGGAGCUGGAUCAAAACCUAAGAUGAUCUGGCCACAUGGUGCAGACUGAGCACACACUUGGGAGAGAAAUGGGCCAGGAGGAGAGGAGAGAGGUUCACCACAGGACAGUGGAUGACUGGGAAUAGAAGCCCUCCCCAUGGUGGACCAAGAAGUCUGUGAAGCUGAGAGAAAGACAAAAGAAAUCACGACUUCUGUAGGUAGCUGGGAUGGAAACCUCAGGGGUGACAGGGUCUUUAAAGGAAAUCUCAAGGAAGGCAUCAUGUUCCGGGUGUGCUCCAGGGAUGCUGAGUAAGAAAAGACCAGCCUUUCUGUGUGUGUCUUUACUCUGCCACAAGGCACCUGGGCUCCUAAAUGACCAACACACAUGUGCUAUACUGGUGCCAAGAAAGAAGGGUGUUUUGUAGGAAAGUCAAGGUGAGAGGAGGUGCCCAGGGCUUGGCUCCUUUCUUUGAAGGGUGAUGGUGUAAAUUCUCCAUGCUGGGGAUCCUACUGAUGGAUGGAGGCAUGUCGACCUCAUCAUUUCACAGAGUGGGGAGCUAUGGCCACAACGUGCCUAUCACACAAGUCCAGCCUCACGUCAGCUGGACACCAGCUGUUCUGACACUUGUCAGCACAUGGGGCACCCGGAAGUUCACGGUGUUCUGCAAAGAACGCCACAAAACAGUGAGCUCAACUUCUUGAAAGUCAUAAUGUGUUGCUAAGUCCGAUCCCAGAUCCUAAAAAUAAUAUGAGGUAGUGGCCAUUGAACAGAAAAAAUUUACAUCUUAAACUUGAAGAUAAGUACAAGUGUACCUUUUUCUACCACUGUUGUUCAGUUUUAUUAUAUUGACAAGCACCUCUGCCCACCCUAUGGGGUAAAACUGUUUGAAAGUGUUUAUGAAAGUUUUAUAUAAAUAUUGGCUGAUCAAAUGUACAAAAUAUGCAUGAUGGCACCAUAUUGUGUAUAAUAGUGACAAAUACAGUCCAUGUGGGUGGAGAAACAAGCUCGGUGUUGUGCAUGCAACUGUGGUUUGUGUUCACACUUCUCCUUUAGAGUGUAGUAGACAGAGCAUGCCUGAACUGCCUGGGGCUGAGGGGUCUCAGGCGUAGAGUGGCCCAGGAAUUCUGAGCAAGGACAGAAUGUUAGAGAGAAUAUCCUGAGCUGAGCAGAGAGGCCUGCCCAUGCUAGCUGGCAGCCACCUGCCUUCAGUGCUUCAUUCUUGGGGGACCUUGAGGCCAGUUCCUGCCGCUACUGCUGCUGCCCACUUGGUAGCUCUGUCCUCAUCAGGGAAGAGCCACUGUGAACCCCAGAGACCUAGUGGUGCUAGGGGCUGAUGCAGGCAAAUGACUGGCUGCCCCUGGAUCUUAUGUGAAAACAAGAAUGCUGGACCAAAAGGUCUCUACAGGGCUCCAUGACUACCCAUGACCUGUCACUUCAGUGAGGGGCUAGUGGCCAGGAGGGGCUCAGGGUUGGACACUGGUAUUCCUCUACUCAGACCUUACACCACAGGUUGCAAGAACAGGGAGGUCACAUGUCAGUGACCUCAUGCCUAAAUAGAUGCACAGCACAGAGCAGAUUCCUGGAUAGCUUACACCCUACUUUCCCCAGUGCAUCGAUUAUGACUUCCUUUCUAGCAACUGUGAGUACAGCCGGGACUCAUCAAUCACACCUGUAACUUCCCAGCUGCAUUUCUCAGGGUCUCUGACAGCAGGGCCUUCUCUGGUCUUUUUAAAUUACCCACAGACCUAGGACAGUCUUCUGCACAUACUUCUACAUUUUAAAGGCUUACUUUUAGUAUGUUUAUGUGUGUGAGAUGGGGAAUAUUGUAUUCAUGUGUGCAUGUAUAUGUCUGUGAGUACUGUGGUCUGUGUGUGUAACUGGAUAUGACUGUGUGUGUCAUAUGGAUACAGGGGACUAGAAUGAGGACAGCCAGGUGUCCAGGCUAUAAGAUCUAAGGAGGAACUUGCUCUCAGGGCCAACCCUGCCCUUGCGUGAGCCUGAGAGAGAGAGCCUCCUGGAAUUUUGCACCUUGAGUGCCUUCCUGCUUCACCCUAAUCCCCCUGGUUGUCUGUAUGUUUGGAUGUGAGUGUUGUACAUAUGCUGUGUAUGUGUGUGCAUGCAUGUGAGUGUGCAUGGGUGUGUGUCUGUAUGUCUCAGCAGCUGUCACUGGGCUUCCCAGUCCCUGUCAGCAGGCGAAGGAGGCCCCUUCAUUUCCUUGGGUCCUGCUUAUGCAGCAGAGGCCACAGCAAAGGCUCCCUGGGUUGGGUCAGCCCUCACUGUAACUCAACAUGCCCUGGAAGUCACCACAGGGUCAUGGAAAGUGUCCUGGUGAUGAGAUGGAGUGUCUGCUUUGCCACAAGGGCUGUGGGACCAGGGUCGGGGCAUACCUCUCUGGGUCUCAGUUUCCUCACUGGUAAGAUGUGGCGACAGAAUCUCAUCUGUGAGCCCCCUCUAGCCUUGAACAACUCUGGAUCCAGGUAGACCAGCAUAAUGAAAGCCUAUGAAGCUUCUGAGAUGUGUGAGGCAUACAUUGUCCCAGGUACUCAAGUAACUUAAGUCUGGAAGCUGCGAGCCACAGAGAUCAAGCCUUCUCCAAAAAUUGGACUGCAAGGCAUGCCAUACAAACAGAGUGCUAGGAGACCUUGGGGAGGUGGGGAAGAGGAAGAGGAAUCAUGGACAGCUUCAUGGGGAGGUGGCUUUGGAGCUGGGAUGGGUGAGGACAGCUGGAAUGUGGGCAGCACGUGACCAAGUGCUUUGCAGACAUGGCAUGGCCCCCAGCCAGGCCCUGAGGAAAGGAGAGUCUCAGGACAGCAGCUAUGUCACUGUAAGCAGGACCCUUGAAAGCAGGUGCCACCUGCAAAAGGGGGAGCCCUGAGGCCCAGGCAGGCCUGUCACAGUGUGGGGCACCUGUCUAGACAGCCCCAUGGCCAGCAGUGGGGGUGGGCCAUGGGCCAUGGGGACCUUCCUGGUAUGGGGUACUGCCAUGUCCCCAGGGAAUAUGGGGGGUCCAGGAAGGUCCCCAAGGCUCGAAGGACCCAGGUCUUUUCAUACUGCCAAAGAGAUGUAAGGCCUACAGAGGGGAAAGUUUGCAUAUCUGUGAAGGCAUGGAGCCUAGGCAUUGGAAGUGUCCAGUAACCAUUUUCAUUUGGCAGAAGUGUCUCCACGGCACUUCUACCUGCAGCCCUGCCACAUUUUGCCACAAACUGCCCAGCAGCCCUGAGAUGGAGCCCCAGUGUAGACCGUCAUGGAGCACACCAGCUCUGGAACAAUGAGGAGCAGACUCGAGAAAGCCAGAUGGGGUUUACCUGUCAACAGCCACAACAUAGUCGUGCUGGGGUGACUGUUCAAGAUAAAUGAACUUUGGUGCUCCUGCCGAAUGGGUUGUUAGUGUUCGGUCCUUUUCCUACCACUGAGUUGUUUUGUCUGAUCAUUCUUCUUCCUGGUUCUGCGGGUCUGCCUUCUUGAAAGGGAAGAGCAAGACUCCAGCUCCCUGCCCUGUAGAGGUGCCUUCUACCUUGCUCAGUGUUGAAGCAAAGGAGCAAAGCAAAGCUUAAGUCAGAGAUUUGGUGCUCAGCUAAUCACAGAGACUUUUAAAUGUCAACCAGGGUUUGCUAUCAGGCCAAAGCUGGAUUAUUAUUACCCAAAGUAGAAAAUUGUGAGACAGAGGCAGGUGGGGAGGGAGGGAGAGAGAAGAAAGCAGAAGGUGGAGGAUUCGUGGAUUUAAUUUUUUAAAAAUAAAUAUAUGAUUCCGUGUCAAUUAAAAACAAGUACCCCAGGCAAGUCUUCCUGCAGUCCUGUCUUAGCCGCACACACAGCAUAACUGCAAACCCACUUGAGCUCAUUUUUGCUCAAAGACCAAUUCUAUUAAACCCUUAGAAUGUUCUGGAUUUCAACACACAGUCCACAGACAGCCAUUCUAUCAAAAGCUUAGUGUUUUCCCUAUGACUGGGUUUUCUGGUAAGGUGAACUAAGGCAUCCUUUUCCAUUUCAGGCUGUGGUAACAGCAGAUAACAGCCGCAGAGGUCAUAGCCAGCACUUUCUAUGUGUCCCUUCAUUUAAUCCCAGUACUCCUAGGUGGUAGAUCUAUUAUUUUGUCCACAUGAAUGAUUGAAAAGUCUGUCCUAAAUUUUAAAUGGAACGAAGUACUGGGUUGCAAGUUACUGGCGGCUGUUUCACAGGAAAUACGACGACAAUGGGACUUUGGGAAUGUGUUCUGGAGACUCCGCUCCUUGGUGACUACUACAUGGAGCACAGAAAAUUGUCUUGAGUGGCAGCUAUGUGCCAGGUGAGGAGACAGGUUUUACUCACAUGACUCCCCAGAAGCCCUGCAGCGUCUCCAUAUUUUAUAAAGAGGAAGUACAAGCCCAGAGAGACAUCUGACUUGACUAAGUUCACACAAAAACAGCAAGGUCUGGGCCAAGACGGAAGCCCGGGCUUUGCCUUCUUCUUCUGCCUGCAGGGCAGGGGCUUUCAUCCUGGCUUCACGCUGAUUUCAAAAGCCUGUCAUUCUCUUGACACCUCAUGGCCCCUGAGUUUAUCCCAAGAAUAAUAAGUUCUACUGUCCUCCUGGAGAUGCCGAAGAAUCAAAACUGCAACACACAGAGGGCCUGGGUGUGCGCGAACCCUGUAGUACACACCGAUGACAGCAGAUUAAGCCAUUUCUCUCUUAGGUGCGUCACCCAACCAGCUCCUGGACCCUUCUGCUGUGCUGCCCUGACAGUCACAAUAUGUCCUAGUGGACUAAUUAGCACUAACUACCCAUGUCACCCCAAGGCCAUUUAAGAAGACAAAUAAAAAAGACAAAACCAAUGAGUAUUGUGGCUGAAGAUGACGAAAAAAAGUUAAAAGCAGGGAGGAAUGAAUUAUUUUUUCUUUCUCAAUCUCUCUCUCUGUUUAAACCAAAGAGAGGUUUUCAUCUGAGAGCCCGGGAGCUAAGCAGCUACUUUCUACAUGAAAAAGUGAAAACAUUAAAAUAAAAUCCCUUUCUUUCAAGCUAACGUUCUAAAACUGAACCUCUGCAGAGGCUCCAAAAGAGAAAUGCCUUGCUUUUAAGCCCCUGAGUGAGAGGGAUCCUGAGGAAGUGGCAGAGGGGAUGAACCUAAGCUUUGGGACAUAACAACCGGCACCUCCAGUGGCCACCACUCCUAGCUAUGCUGCCUGUGGAUGGGGCCCCAGUGCUGGCCCCUAACAGCAUGGGGAAGCCUCCCCAGCCACUUUGAAGCUGUUUGCAUCACAUCCAAGAUGAACCUAGGCAGGGAGGCUGAGUGUGCUUGGGAGAUGCCAAGUUAGGGAAGUAAGUUCCCCAGGGUCCUUCAACUUGUGGUGCCUGAGGAUAGCUGCUUUUUUUCCAGUGCAGAUGGAGACACGGCAGACUUGGGGGGAUGUGUGAAAGUAAGGCCUCCCUCCCUCUGCCUUUCCAAGUGGCUGAGCAUCUCCUUCCUUCUCAUAGCUACUUCUAGGAGAGGCAUCCAGGCAGGAACCUCUUCUCCAUUUCACAGAUGGGAAGACUGAGAACCAUACUGGAAAGGGGCGUAUUUUAAUUAAAGUGGGGAACACUGAUGAGGAAAGCAAGCUGAUAGACUGAAGGCCCUGCCUGUCACUGCCAGCACGGGCACUUGAGCCUUCUUAUCAAGGGUUCUGAUGGGAGUUUCCACUAGGAUUCCAGGUGUCGAUCAUCUAGUAGCCGAGUUCUGAUGAGCUGGACUUUGGGUGGUUGAGGUAGGGAGCAGUGGAAAGGGGAAUUGGAGUCAUAUCAACCUCUUUGAACACCAGUUCCUUCCCCUCUCUUCUAUAAAAAUGUCGUAGCAAUACCUGCCUGGCAGAGUUGUGAGAAUUAAAUGAGAUGAUGAAUACAUCUGCUCUCAGCACCACACCACACCUGUGGCAGUCCUCAGAGAGAAGAAUCACAGCUUCCAUUCAUUGACAGCUCACUAAGUGCCAGGUAUGCUCAGCUCUUGUGCAGACAUUCUUUUUCUUUGGAUGUAAAUGUGACAUGGGCAGAGCAGGAGGAGCUGUGAGGCUGGCUUGGCUGAGCCAUAGGGAUUGCUGGCAUCUUAUAUGGCAUUCAGGACUAUGGAGGGUCCACGGGAAGAAACACAGAAACAGAAUCCAAGUAUCCUUCGGGGACUCUUGGACUUUCUUCCCCUUGAUCUUAGACAUGCCUCAGUAAAGAGAUGCUGGUUUCUAUCGAGACUCAUUCCUGGGGAAGGACCCCCACCAGCCAAGCAAGGUAAAGCCCAGACUCAGUUACAUGAAUUACAGGUUUAAGACAGACGCCUUCCUAUGAAUAUUUUUCUGGCCAGUGGCUUAUAUAAGAGAAAUUUGCUCAUUGUAUUUCUAUCUGGCCAAGGAAGGGGUCUAGGGGGGCUUUCAGCAACCCAAACAGUCUUGUCAGCCCUAACUCUGGACCUAAGGAAAUAAUUAUGAAUCUUCAAGAUCCAUUUAAAAGUGUCAUUACUGUAGAUAAACAAAGAAGAGCGGAUGCUUCUUCCUACUCCACCUCACUGCAGAGAUUCCAUCCAUCCCAGGGUCACUGACCACUGACUGGAUGAACUAGGAUUGGUGUGGCAGAGUGGAGUUUUCAGGAGCCAAGAGACUCCUGGAUUGUCAUGCUCUGUACUCCUUCCCCACAAAAGGAAUGUCUAGAACUCCUGCUGAAAGUAGUCAUUGCCUGCAUUUCCUAGGCAGAAUGUGUUAGCUCCCUCCCCAGAAGAACCUGGGCGAAGGUGUUCCAAUCUGCAUUUGGAAAGAAUCCCUCCCGCAAAGAACUCUACACCCUCUAAGAGAAGAUAACGUGAGGGCAUAUUCUCCUCUCUUAGAGGGUGUUUUUCAAUACUAAAUUCUAUCUCUGAAGAGAAUGAGGACCCGAAGUGGGGCAGUGCACCAAGUUUUCAACUAAAACAAAAGCAAAACUAAUCUGCAGUCUUGAAGGUGGGCUCAUUCAUUCCCCUGCCCCCACUUUUUAAAACAUUUUUUUUCUUAAAUGAAACAGUUUCUUUUAUCUUUUGGCUUCUCGUGUACUCAGAACCAUAGAGCUCAAAGCUUCUCAGCUCAACGGAGAACUCAGCACUUCUUGGACUGAUAAAUAGAGCAGCUUUAAAAUGCUUAGAACUGAAGACAGACCAACUGUGGCGAGAGAAAGUAAACACAUCCAUGCACCAGUCAACCCUAGCAAGCUCCUCGCUGAGAUUACAAACUGCAGUUCCUGCCUGAGCUGGAGAGGAUGCUGGAGCAGGCUGGGGGACCAGAACCACAAACCAGCCCUGGCUUAGCUCUGGCUUAGCUAGCUGUGCCCCAGAAGAGCUGGGUCCUCAGGGAGACUUCUUGCGGCCCGGUUUGGAUGUUCCUAAGCAUAGAAGACUCUGCCAGUGUGUCCCUCAUUCGUUUCACAUUUGGAAAUGUACCAAGAGAAGUGGGAACCAGCUUUACUCUUUCGGAUCUAGAUGGGAAUCCUUUCCUUUGCAUUCAAGCUCUCUGUGUACAGGUGUAACUUGCCAGUGAAAGACUUGGGAUUUCUCACAAAAUAGAAUGUGAUAACGACAUAAUUUGAUAUGAAUAUUUGAGGAACUUUAUCUAUGGACAAUAUAUACUUUAAACAUCUCCCUCCCCAAGUCACACACACAAAUUGUUUUUAUGAGAACCAAUUAAUAAAUGCUAAUUCAUUGAGGCAUAUCUUCACUAAAUUACUGUUUCAUUUAAUUGCAGGGGAAUUUUCCAUUACUAAACUCCCUUGCUGAUUUUUUUUUGCAUUAUUUAUAUAUUCUUUCAAUUUCACUAAUAGUGAGGUUGGUAUGUGAUAUUAUCUGAUGUUUGUACGUCUUAAAUUUAUUUUUCAUUUAAAAUAUUUCCUCAUUCUUGCAGCUCCACAUAAUCAGGGAGAAACAUCAAUAAAAGCAGGCAAGAUUUUACAAUAAAUGAUUGAAAAAGGCACUGGCUGAAAUUAACCUGACAGGAACGCGUCCUGUGUGAUUGUGUUUCUCUCAUUCCAGACGUGCGUGUGUGUGCGUGUGUGUGUGUCUCUACUUUGGGUUAAUGUGGGAAUGCUUUCCUAUAUCAAUAAGUCACAAGUCGAUCUGUGAAAAGAUUGUGCAUACAAAAUGGAGAUGAAGAUCACAGGGGCUUUAAUAAUAAAAUAAACAUAAGCAACACUCGAAUCUCUUUAUAAAUCCCAGAGCACAAUGUGCGUUUUCUUACUUCCUUUUCCUGGACCCCAAAUAAAGACUUUGACAGCCAGAUAUCCAAGAUCCGGAUCAGCCAGCUUCCUAAAAUUCUCCUCUUCUUUUUUAAGGUGUAGAAAAGUGGGGGUAUCCCUUGGUGGUUAGGGGGUGCUUGGAGACUGUGGUAGAGAUUUGGUGUUAACAAAAAUGUAUUUUGAAAGCAGGAUUUCAAUUUUCUUAUACUGAAUGGCAAAGGUUCCACGCACCUGGCUAUCUUCAUUUGUGAAAUGAAUGCUUUCAUUUUAUUCUCUCCAGCUACCUUGUCCCUUUCUUUCCUUUCCACCCCCACUGCCUCCUUUCAGUGUCUUUCUUUUUCUCCUUAUUCUUUCACUCCUUUCUCUCUCACAGCAAAAUGUUCUGGAGGAUGUGAAUGAUUAAACUGUUUACUCCAAGGUUUAGGUAUGAAAAGGCAAGUCACUGUAAGUAAAGUUUCACCUUUAUACCCAACUCCAUCAAUAAUUACAGAACAAGGAUGACUGUUAGUAAAUCUUUCUUACAAUUGGCUCUUACAAAAAUGAUUUCAUUUUUUCUGGGCAUACCAAGUUUGACAGAUUUUACUUUUCACAAAAAUUAUUUACACAGCAGAGGAACCCGCUCCAAAAUGAAGGAAGCAUAUAAAGGGCCGUUGAGUGUAUCCAUAGGAAAAUGAAUACCUAUAAAAUGCAUCUCAAUAAAUUAGAGAUUUGAGGCCAUAAAUAGAACGUUUUGACGUAUUAUAUUAGUAGAUGCCCUCUAAUUUAAACCAAAGUGUCCCUUAAUAAUUAAAAUUCCAUGAGAUUGAUUUUUUAUUUGGUUUCCUUCACUUCCUUUGUCUUCUUCAACAAAAUUAGGCAGAGUCCUUUUGGGGGUAGACUGAUAAAAUUAAUUAACUUUCCUUCCCACCCCAAAAAGUUCCAAAUAAAUGCUUCCAAUAGACUCAAAAAAGUGUCAAUUAGAAAUAAUUACUUCUUAUCAAUCAGUGGGGCAAUUAAAGUGACAAAGCUUAAAAAGAUACUUAUCUUAAAACUAAUUCACAAGGUAGCUAAAUUAUCUCCUAAUUAACUUGCAUUGUGGAGGGUGGGGGGGAUAAACCAUCUUGAAACAAAGAUGAAUUGAUGAACCCCAAUACCUCUUUAUGUUCCUCAAAGUUGCUUCCAUUCCCUGAAACCUUAUUUUCAACCCAGGCAGGAAACCUGGGAAGAAAACAGAUCCUUUCCAAAUGCAUUUAUUCCACUUUCCUCAAUUCUAAAACCAAGAGUUAGGAAUGGGGCUUUAGAUCUCACAUCUGGGAAGUUAGAGACAUCGUCCUCUGCCUUGUCUUAUUUUACCACUUGAAUGAACUAUUUUCAGGGCUGGUGGGAGUGCGCUGCGACAAGUUAUUUAAGAUAACUUUUAAUGACAGCCAGCCUGCUUGCUUUUACAAAACUCUCUUCCUCAUUGGCACAGUAUUGUUUUCACUUUUAUAGAUAUGGGGCAUUUAUCAUUUCUUCUGCAUCUUCGAAUUUUUUAAAAAAUGUUUUUGCUUUAGAGAAUUUCGUCCCUGAUGCAACAAAAAUAGCGAUUUUAAGGAACGUUCAGCCCAUCGCUGACCUGCGCACGUUAAAAUGAUUCGCGUGCAACGUUCCUUCAGAAUAAAGCUGUAGGAAAGACAAUGCUAAGACUCUCUGCAAGGCAAGACCAGCCAGCGACGAGGCGAGACAGCCGUGGCAGCCUGGGCGGCGGGGGCCGCGCAGGGAAGUUUUCCUGAGCGUCUCCGGUUAUUGGGAAGGGUGCGCUCGGCCUCGCUCCCGCGAAAAGCCGUGUGGCUGCCCGCGUCCCGGGCUCUGCUCACAGAACACUUAAGGGGAGCUCCCUAAGCACUACCGAUCUCAGGAAUAGGGGUGCCUGGGGAAAAGGGGGAAGCUGCUACAACCCGAGAGAAAAUGGGCUUGUAAAAACAAGAGGGGUGCGCUUAUGAAUUUAGCUCCAAUUAUAGACAACAGUGUCAGGUAAGCUGAUCAGAAAGACAGACGGCCUCUCCCUCAGGUUUGCCGAGGGAGGGUUCAGAAAAGAAACAGGGAGCGCCUUCAGCAGUCUAUGCUGUUAUAGGCCAUUUUCUUGUUUUAUUAGCGUUUAAAUUAAACUAUGAGAAGAAAGUCUCAUCUUCCCUCCCUCGCCACUUUGUUUAUUUGUUUUGGAAAGGGGGUAGAAGAAGCCCCUCUGUCUUCCCGAAAAGAAGAAGGGGAAAAAAAUUACCUGGUAGGUCCAGGGGCAGAGGGCUCCCUCCCAAAACCCAAGCGCGAUUUGCAUCCAAGCUAGUGGGAAAGCGCGCAUCUCAUCAUCUGGGACUGUUACUGAUUAAAACUACAGUAAAAAUAAA